RNAcentral lists this transfer RNA (74 nucleotides) under Planctomyces sp. RNAcentral describes it as "tRNA-Val". It matches the Rfam family "tRNA". From Rfam's summary of the family: Transfer RNA (tRNA) molecules are approximately 80 nucleotides in length. The record is from RNAcentral. RNAcentral also lists the same sequence under 1 other name. Lineage: Bacteria; Pseudomonadati; Planctomycetota; Planctomycetia; Planctomycetales; Planctomycetaceae.
GGUCGCAUAGCUCAAUCGGCUAGAGCGCAGUCCUCACACGACUGAGGUUGCUGGUUCGAGCCCAGCUGUGACCA